GAUGAAGAACGUAGCGAAAUGCGAUACGUAAUGUGAAUUGCAGAAUUCAGUGAAUCAUCGAAUCUUUGAACGCACAUUGCGCCUGCCAGCACUCUGGCAGGCAUGCCUGUUCGAGCGUCAUUUCAACCAUCAAGCCCUAGGCUUGCGUUGGAGCCCUGCGGCUGCCGCAGGCCCCUAAAAGCAGUGGCGGGCUCGCUAUCACACCGAGUGCAGUAGAUUACUCUUCGCUCAGGGCGUGUGGCGGGUUCCAGCCGUGAAACCCCCUACUUCUCAAGGUUGACCUCGGAUCAGGUAGGAGUACCCGCUGAACUUAAGCAUAUCAAUAAGCGGAGGA
Molecule: unclassified non-coding RNA, 334 nt
Filed under: soil metagenome
Description: partial contains 5.8S ribosomal RNA, internal transcribed spacer 2, and large subunit ribosomal RNA
Rfam family: 5.8S ribosomal RNA (bases 1-120)
Source: RNAcentral